Molecule: ribosomal RNA, 395 nt
Filed under: uncultured bacterium
Lineage: Bacteria
Description: partial 16S ribosomal RNA
Rfam family: Bacterial small subunit ribosomal RNA
Source: RNAcentral
CCUACGGGGGGCAGCAGUGGGGAAUAUUGCGCAAUGGGCGCAAGCCUGACGCAGCGACGCCGCGUGAGGGAUGAAGGUCUUCGGAUCGUAAAGCUCUGUCAGCAGGGAAGAACGGUCACUGUGCUAUUCAGCAGUUGAUUGACGGUAACUACAGAGGAAGCACCGGCUAACUCCGUGCCAGCAGCCGCGGUAAUACGGAGGGUGCGAGCGUUAAUCGGAAUUACUGGGCGUAAAGCGCUCGUAGGCGGUAUGUCAAGUCAAGGGUGAAAGCCCCGCGCUCAACGUGGGAACUGCCUUUGAAACUGGGAAACUGGAGUGGGUGAGAGGAUAGUGGAAUUCCAGGUGUAGGAGUGAAAUGCGUAGAUAUCUGGAGGAACAUCAGUGGCGAAGGCGAC